This 492-nucleotide ribosomal RNA is filed under the name Triticum aestivum (bread wheat). RNAcentral describes it as "partial small subunit ribosomal RNA". The record is from RNAcentral. Lineage: Eukaryota; Viridiplantae; Streptophyta; Magnoliopsida; Poales; Poaceae.
AUGGCACAGUUUGCUGGCCUUACUCGCUCAAGCUUGCAUGCCAUAGUCUGGAAGGCUUGGGCACCCCCCAAGUGUAAUUUUUUUGCCUGGCUUGUCACUCAAAACAGAAUUUGGGUUGCCGAUAGGCUCCAACAGCGAGGAUGGCCUAAUUGCGACCGAUGUCCACUCUGUAAUCAGGUGCAAGAAUCUGCGGCUCACCUCCUCUUCAAGUGCAGGUUCUCUACUAGAGUUUGGAAUGAGGUGUUUGCCUGGCUUGGUCUAAAUAUCCCCGCGACUCCUUGGCUCCAGUUUAACACAGUCAAAUCUUGGUGGGAUGCGCUACUCACUAACAAUGAUCAACCCACGAAAGCUCUAUCUUCCCUUCUCCUUCUUGUGGGAUGGGAACUUUGGAAGGAAAGGAAUGCGCGUGUCUUCAGGAACAAGGCGGCGCCGCUGGCGAUUAUCAUGCGAUGCAUCAAAGAAAAAGUGUCCAUUCGGGCCAUUGCGGCGUAA